UUUAUGGAGAGUUUGAUCCUGGCUCAGGAUGAACGCUGGCGGCGUGCCUAAUACAUGCAAGUCGAGCGAACGGACGAGAAGCUUGCUUCUCUGAUGUUAGCGGCGGACGGGUGAGUAACACGUGGAUAACCUACCUAUAAGACUGGGAUAACUUCGGGAAACCGGAGCUAAUACCGGAUAAUAUUUUGAACCGCAUGGUUCAAAAGUGAAAGACGGUCUUGCUGUCACUUAUAGAUGGAUCCGCGCUGCAUUAGCUAGUUGGUAAGGUAACGGCUUACCAAGGCAACGAUGCAUAGCCGACCUGAGAGGGUGAUCGGCCACACUGGAACUGAGACACGGUCCAGACUCCUACGGGAGGCAGCAGUAGGGAAUCUUCCGCAAUGGGCGAAAGCCUGACGGAGCAACGCCGCGUGAGUGAUGAAGGUCUUCGGAUCGUAAAACUCUGUUAUUAGGGAAGAACAUAUGUGUAAGUAACUGUGCACAUCUUGACGGUACCUAAUCAGAAAGCCACGGCUAACUACGUGCCAGCAGCCGCGGUAAUACGUAGGUGGCAAGCGUUAUCCGGAAUUAUUGGGCGUAAAGCGCGCGUAGGCGGUUUUUUAAGUCUGAUGUGAAAGCCCACGGCUCAACCGUGGAGGGUCAUUGGAAACUGGAAAACUUGAGUGCAGAAGAGGAAAGUGGAAUUCCAUGUGUAGCGGUGAAAUGCGCAGAGAUAUGGAGGAACACCAGUGGCGAAGGCGACUUUCUGGUCUGUAACUGACGCUGAUGUGCGAAAGCGUGGGGAUCAAACAGGAUUAGAUACCCUGGUAGUCCACGCCGUAAACGAUGAGUGCUAAGUGUUAGGGGGUUUCCGCCCCUUAGUGCUGCAGCUAACGCAUUAAGCACUCCGCCUGGGGAGUACGACCGCAAGGUUGAAACUCAAAGGAAUUGACGGGGACCCGCACAAGCGGUGGAGCAUGUGGUUUAAUUCGAAGCAACGCGAAGAACCUUACCAAAUCUUGACAUCCUUUGACAACUCUAGAGAUAGAGCUUUCCCCUUCGGGGGACAAAGUGACAGGUGGUGCAUGGUUGUCGUCAGCUCGUGUCGUGAGAUGUUGGGUU
RNAcentral lists this ribosomal RNA (1101 nucleotides) under Staphylococcus aureus. Its description in RNAcentral is "bacterial SSU rRNA". It matches the Rfam family "Bacterial small subunit ribosomal RNA", at positions 1 to 1081 of the family's 1533-position model. The record is from RNAcentral. Lineage: Bacteria; Bacillati; Bacillota; Bacilli; Caryophanales; Staphylococcaceae.